GGCUCAGGACGAACGCUGGCGGCGUGCUUAACACAUGCAAGUCGAACGGUGAUGUCAGAGCUUGCUCUGGCGGAUCAGUGGCGAACGGGUGAGUAACACGUGAGUAACCUGCCCCCGACUCUGGGAUAACUGCUAGAAAUGGUAGCUAAUACCGGAUAUGACGAUUGGCCGCAUGGUCUGGUCGUGGAAAGAAUUUCGGUUGGGGAUGGACUCGCGGCCUAUCAGGUUGUUGGUGAGGUAAUGGCUCACCAAGCCUACGACGGGUAGCCGGCCUGAGAGGGUGACCGGCCACACUGGGACUGAGACACGGCCCAGACUCCUACGGGAGGCAGCAGUGGGGAAUAUUGCACAAUGGGCGAAAGCCUGAUGCAGCAACGCCGCGUGAGGGAUGACGGCCUUCGGGUUGUAAACCUCUUUUAGUAGGGAAGAAGCGAAA
Molecule: ribosomal RNA, 436 nt
Filed under: Clavibacter michiganensis subsp. michiganensis
Lineage: Bacteria; Bacillati; Actinomycetota; Actinomycetes; Micrococcales; Microbacteriaceae
Description: bacterial SSU rRNA
Rfam family: Bacterial small subunit ribosomal RNA
Source: RNAcentral